Molecule: ribosomal RNA, 437 nt
Filed under: uncultured bacterium
Lineage: Bacteria
Description: bacterial SSU rRNA
Rfam family: Bacterial small subunit ribosomal RNA
Source: RNAcentral
UACGGAAGGCAGCAGUGGGGAAUAUUGCACAAUGGGCGGAAGCCUGAUGCAGCGACGCCGCGUGAGGGAUGACGGCCUUCGGGUUGUAAACCUCUUUCAGUAGGGAAGAAGCGAAAGUGACGGUACCUGCAGAAGAAGCGCCGGCUAACUACGUGCCAGCAGCCGCGGUAAUACGUAGGGCGCAAGCGUUAUCCGGAUUUAUUGGGCGUAAAGAGCUCGUAGGCGGUUUGUCGCGUCUGCCGUGAAAGUCCGAGGCUCAACCUCGGAUCUGCGGUGGGUACGGGCAGACUAGAGUGAUGUAGGGGAGACUGGAAUUCCUGGUGUAGCGGUGAAAUGCGCAGAUAUCAGGAGGAACACCGAUGGCGAAAGGCAGGUCUCUGGGCAUUUUACUGACGCUGAGGAGCGAAAGCAUGGGGAGCGAACAGGGAUUAGAUACC